RNAcentral lists this non-coding RNA (30 nucleotides) under Rattus norvegicus (Norway rat). Lineage: Eukaryota; Metazoa; Chordata; Mammalia; Rodentia; Muridae. The record is from RNAcentral.
UGGUACCCCGACCCUACACUAUUCCAGUAA